RNAcentral lists this unclassified non-coding RNA (253 nucleotides) under Patescibacteria group bacterium. RNAcentral's name for it is "contains 16S-23S intergenic spacer region". It matches the Rfam family "Bacterial small subunit ribosomal RNA", at positions 524 to 776 of the family's 1533-position model. The record is from RNAcentral.
UACGAGUGCCCCGAGCGUUAUCCGGAUUUAUUGGGCGUAAAGCGUACGUAGGCGGUCAUGUAAGUCAGUGGUAAAAUCCCAGAGCUCAACUCUGGACCUGCCACUGAAACUGCACGACUAGAGGCUGGAAGAGGCAAGUGGAAUUGCCGGUGUAGGGGUAAAAUCCGUUAAUAUCGGCAGGAACACCAAAUGUGAAGACAACUUGCUAGCACAGUCCUGACGCUAAGGUACGAAAGCGUGGGUAGCGAAUGGG